GGGGCAUUGUCAGGAUACAAGAGACAUUGUAAUUGAGAAAAGAAUUCUUCUCCUUAGAGAAAUAUCCUAUCAGGUGGCAGCCAGUGUUGUCAGCUUCUGUCAUGACAUAGAAGAGGAAGGGUUCAACAUCAUAAUACAAUGUUUUAUGGUCCAAGAAAAGCUUUGCCAGCAGACAUAGGUUUUGACAGUAGAUCUUGUUCUUUUUCCCAUCAACUUCAAAAACUGAAAUGGAGCCUUUGCGGUAGAUUUC
This 250-nucleotide long non-coding RNA is filed under the name Gallus gallus (chicken). The record is from RNAcentral. Lineage: Eukaryota; Metazoa; Chordata; Aves; Galliformes; Phasianidae.